UACGUAGGGUGCGAGCGUUAAUCGGAAUUACUGGGCGUAAAGCGUGCGCAGGCGGUUUGUUAAGACAGAUGUGAAAUCCCCGGGCUUAACCUGGGAAUUGCGCUUGAAACUAGCGGGCUUGAGUGUGGCAGAGGGGGGUGGAAUUCCACGUGUAGCAGUGAAAUGCGUAGAGAUGUGGAGGAACACCGAUGGCGAAGGCAGCCCCCUGGGUCAACACUGACGCUCGAUGCACGAAAGCGUGGGGAGCAAACAGG
Molecule: ribosomal RNA, 254 nt
Filed under: uncultured bacterium
Lineage: Bacteria
Description: partial 16S ribosomal RNA
Rfam family: Bacterial small subunit ribosomal RNA
Source: RNAcentral